RNAcentral lists this unclassified non-coding RNA (431 nucleotides) under Hevea brasiliensis (rubber tree). Lineage: Eukaryota; Viridiplantae; Streptophyta; Magnoliopsida; Malpighiales; Euphorbiaceae. The record is from RNAcentral.
GAAGGCAUAGAGAUCAUUGUUUCAGUUGGGAUGACAAUGCCACAAUUGAUAUCUUCUAUAGAAAGGAUUCCUCAUCAGAGCAAUAGGAUCCCUCUUAGCAGAAUUAACCAGAAAUAUGUCACUGACAAUCCUAAAGGUGACAAAGAAAGUCACAUUGUGUUUUCCUUGGCCAGAUCUAUUUUUUUAGAGAUUUAGUUGGUCAGAGAAUACAGCGCACAUAUGGAAAGGUGAAACCAUGUAAACUCGGUAUGACAACACAUGUAUAUUUCAUCUUAUCGAUUUGCUAGUGUAAGAAAGUGCUGGGUACCCCAGUUUGACUCUGGAUAAAGGCAGUCAUAUUCAUAGAAUGUGCCAAAUAUCCACUUCUAUUCUGUACAAAGGUCACAAGAAAUGCCACACACUUCUUUUAUUUUGCAUAAAGAUUCACCCCC